This 1473-nucleotide long non-coding RNA is filed under the name Piliocolobus tephrosceles (Ugandan red Colobus). RNAcentral describes it as "lncRNA (ENSPTEG00000003774.1)". Lineage: Eukaryota; Metazoa; Chordata; Mammalia; Primates; Cercopithecidae. The record is from RNAcentral.
UGGAUAGAUUGUUCCCGCUGUUAAAAAAACGUACAAUUAUCAAAAAAAAAAAAUUUAUAGAAGGAAAAACAAAAAAAAAUAUUGCUUAUAAAAUAUUAGAAACAUUAAUGUACUUAAACAAAAAAAACAUUAUUUUUAUUGGUUGUUCAAGUACAUUAAAUAGGAGGCUACAUAGAAAAAUUGUUAAGUUAUUAUGUAUGAAUCAGAGUAAUGCAAAAAAAAAAAUUUAUUUACUAAGGGAGAAAAGUAAUUUGUCUGAUAGUGAACACGUGGAAGUUGACAUGGAACAAAUGGAUGAGUAUGUGAAAAGUGAUGGUAUUAAAUCUGAUACAUGUGAAAUAGAAGAAGGUAUAGUAGUAAAAAGUCAAAGGGAUAAGACCAUUAAAAUAAACUCGUGUGCAUCCGCAACCUCUGACGAUAACAGAAUUAUAAUAAAUAGCAUAAUAAGUGAUAUUGCAAAAGAAGAAGAAAAAAACAAUAGAAACAGAGAAACAAGUACAGAAACAAGCGCAGAAACAAGCGCAGAAACAAGCGCAGAAACAAGCGCAGAAACAAGCACAAAACAAAACGAAACUAAUUUUGGAAACUGGAAUGAAGAAGAAACAUUAGAAAAAUAUAUUAUAAAAGUUAAAGUACCUAAUAAUAUAUAUCAUUUUUAUCAUAUCGUAAAUAAUGAACUAUUCAGUAAUAAAAUGGAAAAAAUAUGUAACAUAAUAAACCAUUUUAAAAAGCAAAAGAUAUUGAUUUUAGUAGAGAAUGGUUAUUAUUCUUUAUUAAACAUGAAACAAUAUUUAUAUACAAAUAAUAUAUUUUCUUUGUUAUUACAUGAACAAUUAGAAAUAUCGCUAAAUGACAAUAAUAAACAAUUAUUUAAUAUGUGUAAAAAUUAUGAAGAAUUGAAAAUUUUAAAAGAAACUGUAGCUAUGAUUAUGAAUAAAAAAAAUACAAUAGAAAGCAAAAACAUGUAUCUAAAUAAGUACCCUAUUGUUAUUAGUUCAUUUGAUAAUAUUCGUGGUUUUCAUAUAAACAAUUUAGAUAUUGUAAUUUUAUGUAAUAAGCCUGCCAAUGUAAAUGAAUAUAUACAUUUGUGUGGAAGGGUAGGAAGAAGAAAUAGGAACGGUUACUCUAUAUUAGUAGAAAAUGAAAAAAAUGUUCAUAUUGUUAAUAAUUGGCUGACGCAUAUAAAUGUUAAUUUUAACAAUUUGUACAUAAAAACUUUAAAUAAUGUUGAAAAUGAUGAUUACGUAAAAAAAGUAGAAGAAAAAAAAAAAAAAUUAAACCAUAUUGCAUCAAGUAUAAUGGAUGAGCUGGUGGAAAAUGAUUGAUAAAACUGGAUAGAUAAACAAACAGGUAGACAGACAAACAGGUAGACAGACAAACAGACAAACAGACAGACAGACAGACAGACAGAAAAAAAAGUAAUUGCUCAGCACAGAGUAAUUGUUUUAGUAAUAAAAAAAAAAAUUAAAAACA